Molecule: ribosomal RNA, 253 nt
Filed under: uncultured bacterium
Lineage: Bacteria
Description: partial 16S ribosomal RNA
Rfam family: Bacterial small subunit ribosomal RNA
Source: RNAcentral
UACAGAGGCCUCGAGCGUUAGGCGGAAUCACUGGGCUUAAAGCGUGUGUAGGCGGAUUGCUAAGUACCUUGUGAAAUCCCACGGCUUAACCGUGGAACUGCUUGGUAUACUGGCUGUCUUGAGCCACUUAGGGGCGACCGGAACAAACGGUGGAGCGGUGAAAUGCGUAGAUAUCGUUUGGAACGCCAAUGGUGAAAACAGGUCGCUGGGAGUGUGCUGACGCUGAGACACGAAAGCCAGGGGAGCAAACGGG